GACAGAGAGAGAGAGUCAGUUCAUAGUCCACAUAAUGCUUUACACCGACCUUAAUGUGUUUAUGUUGCUCUAUUAUAGGAUCUUUAUCAUGUGGCUACUCUACUGCUUUCAUAUUAAAGGAUUUCUGAGACUAGAGCUCCUUUAGGAGGUCCUAGAGGUUUUUUAGAAAGUCCUAGAAGUCCUUCAGGAGGUUCUGUGGUCACUGAGGAGGCUGUAAGGGCCAUUUCUGAGGCUCUACUGGUGUUUAAAGAGCUGUUCUGGAGGCCUGUGGUGGAACAGUCCAAAUCAGUCAAUGUGGAUUUUACUGUGAGACCUUGAAAGCAUGAAAAUAUGAAGAACCAUUUCUGGCUAAAAAUACAAAUUUGUCAACAAACAACUCAUCCCGCAGUCAGCUUUAAGCCUUGUGAUGACAUGUCACCGUACUCUCUAUGAACAACCACAUUGUAGUGGAAGUCUGGAGGCCUGUGGUGUUUCCAGUACACAGCCUCCAUUUUAUUUAUAUAUGGAAAAUGAGCCGAUAGAUUUGCUUCCAGGCUUCUCUCAUUAAAAAACACAAGCCUUGAUCCUCUGCUACUGGAUUCAUUCAUUUCAGUGUGUUUGUGUGUACUCACGAUCCUCCGGGCACCCUCACGCUGCCCACUCUGUCGCAGAAGCCGUGCGCCCAGAGGGUGGGCA
Molecule: long non-coding RNA, 675 nt
Organism: Dicentrarchus labrax (European seabass)
Lineage: Eukaryota; Metazoa; Chordata; Actinopteri; Moronidae
Exons: 2
Source: RefSeq, a predicted model, not a curated record